AUGUUCUUCAUGUGUUGCGGCCAUGCCGUCAUGUGUUGCGGCCAUGCCGUCAUGUGUUGCGGCCAUGCCGUCAUGUGUUGCUGCCAUGCUGUCAUGUGUUGCGGCCAUGCUGUCAUGUGUUGCGGCCAUGCCGUCAUGUGUUGCUGCCAUGCCGUCAUGUGUUGCGGCCAUGCUGUCAUGUGUUGCGGCCAUGCUGUCAUGUGUUGCGGCCAUGCUGUCAUGUGUUGCUGCCAUGCUGUCAUGUGUUGUGGCCAUGCUGUCAUGUGUUGCGGCCAUGCUGUCAUGUGUUGCGGCCAUGCCGUCAUGUGUUGCUGCCAUGCUGUCAUCUGUUGCGGCCAUGCUGUCAUGUGUUGCGGCCAUGCUGUCAUGUGUUGCGGCCAUGCCGUCAUGUGUUGCUGCCAUGCUGUCAUGUGUUGCGGCCAUGCUGUCAUGUGUUGCUGUCAUGCUGUCAUGUGUUGCUGUCAUGUGUUGCGGCCAUGCUGUCAUGUGUUGCUGCCAUGCUGUCAUGUGUUGCUGCCAUGCUGUCAUGUGUUGCUGCCAUGCUGUCAUGUGUUGCUGCCAUGCUGUCAUGUGUUGCGGCCAUGCUGUCAUGUGUUGCGGCCAUGCUGUCAUGUGUUGCUGCCAUGCUGUCAUGUGUUGUGGCCAUGCUGUCAUGUGUUGCGGCCAUGCUGUCAUGUGUUGCGGCCAUGCCGUCAUGUGUUGCUGCCAUGCUGUCAUCUGUUGCGGCCAUGCUGCCAUGUGUUGCGGCCAUGCUGUCAUGUGUUGCGGCCAUGCCGUCAUGUGUUGCUGCCAUGCUGUCAUGUGUUGCGGCCAUGCUGUCAUGUGUUGCUGUCAUGCUGUCAUGUGUUGCUGUCAUGUGUUGCGGCCAUGCUGUCAUGUGUUGCUGUCAUGCUGUCAUGUGUUGCUGUCAUGUGUUGCUGUCAUGUGUUGCUGUCAUGCUGUCAUGUGUUGCUGUCAUGCUGUCAUGUGUUGCUGUCAUGUGUUGCUGUCAUGCUGUCAUGUGUUGCUGUCAUGCUGUCAUGUGUUGCUGUCAUGUGUUGCGGCCAUGCUGUCAUGUGUUGCGGCCAUGCUGUCAUGUGUUGCUGUCAUGCUGUCAUGUGUUGCUGUCAUGUGUGGCUGCCAUGCUGUCAUGUGUUGCUGCCAUGCUGUCAUGUGUUGCUGCCAUGCUGUCAUGUGUGGCUGCCAUGCUAUGUUGUCGUUUUAGGUAUCUCGUUAUGUAGUGUUGUGCUGAUGUUUUAA
RNAcentral lists this long non-coding RNA (1239 nucleotides) under Oncorhynchus kisutch (coho salmon). RNAcentral's name for it is "lncRNA (ENSOKIG00005015731.1)". Lineage: Eukaryota; Metazoa; Chordata; Actinopteri; Salmoniformes; Salmonidae. The record is from RNAcentral.